CUCCUGGAUCUGUAGUUUAUACAGUAGUUCUUCUAGAAUCCUGCAGUGGAGACUGCCUAACACCUCCCAUGUAGAAGCUAGACCUGAAAUCUUUAAGCUUUUAUCUGCUCUUCUGGAAACUGCUUUUCGUCACUUAUUUGGAGUAUGUAGCUGUGCUGUAAAACAAGAUGAUGCAACUGUGAAACCCUCACCAAUGUAGAGUGGAGCUCGUCGGGCAUAAUGUAGAUAUUUCUCCUGUUCCAGACAAUGUUUUGCACCAUGUAGGGGAACACUCUGCAUAUCUUGUAUGCAUAGGUGAUUUUUCUGGACAAACGGUGCACUUUCUGCUCAGAAGAAUCCCAGGAAAAAAAAAG
Nothoprocta perdicaria is the source of this 353-nucleotide long non-coding RNA. RefSeq lists it as uncharacterized. The transcript has 3 exons. The record is from RefSeq and is a predicted model, not a curated record. NCBI's taxonomy places the organism in Eukaryota, Metazoa, Chordata, Aves, Tinamiformes, Tinamidae.